Vigna unguiculata (cowpea) is the source of this 1161-nucleotide long non-coding RNA. RefSeq lists it as uncharacterized. The record is from RefSeq and is a predicted model, not a curated record. Lineage: Eukaryota; Viridiplantae; Streptophyta; Magnoliopsida; Fabales; Fabaceae.
GACGUUGGUGAGAGAAAAUUAGCAUUCUUCUUCUCCUCGAAGCCAAGAAUUUUCAUUCUUCAGUUUUCCAUCAAAAGCAUUUUGAAGACCAGAAAAAACCUUUCCGGUUGAAGAAAUCGUUUUAACUGUUCGCGAACGGUUUGCUGUUUCAACAAAAAGGAAAACGACGACAACGAGCGGUGGUGGUGACACCGACAACAGUAGUUGGCACAUUCCCGAGGUUGCACCGCUAUCUACUCUGCCGCGGGAAGGAGAAAUCGAAAGAAAAGGAGAGAGUUCCGACACGCUAUCUAUCGGCGUCAUUGUUGGUGGAUGCGGCAUCGUUGUUGAUGGCUUCGGCGUUGCUGUUGGUAUUUGGUGGUGGCUGGUGGAGAAACAUUGGUUCUAUGGCAGCAGUGGUCUGAAGGGGAAGAGAAGAAAACCCUAGGUUUCCUUCAUCAAAGGUAUUUAAAUAGUAAAGGUAUGAAAAAACAAAUUAAAAUAUCGAAGCAAACUAUAAAGCUGGAGAGAGAUUAAAUGCAAGAAUAUUAAAGAUAAAUAUAUUGACUUCAGAAAGUUGCCCUAUAAUAAGGGUAAAUCUAGAAGACAACCUAAUAUCCUCAAGGGGAAAAAAUUGGAAUCCAAUGAAAAUAUGGACGGGUUGCUUGACAAUGAUUCAUAAGGAAUGAAAACAUUUGUAAUUUGGCGAGGAAAAGCAAAUAAGGGCAGUCAAGGAAAGAUUACUUGAGGAGUAUGUACCUAGACAGUGGAUGAGUUUGAAAAGUUGAUUCAAAGCUCCCCCAAGUUUUAUCUGGAUCAAUAACAUGGAUUUCAUGAAAAAUUGUUUAUUUUUAUUUACUUCUUUAGGUUUAUUUUGAGAAGUUAUACAUAUCAUAAGUUAGUACGUUAUUGGACUUUACAGUUAUUUUAUGACUUUAUUUUUUGUUGGGUUUAUUGUCUUCUUAUUGUUUGUUCUAUUAAAAUUCCUUAAUGUGUUGUAUUCCAGAUAUAUUAGAAUGUCUUGAGAAGGUAUAAAUUUAUCUAAUACUCUGUGUGUGUUCUUCAUUUUAGAGAAUAAACUGAAUCAGGUUGAAGAGCAACUUUUUAGGAAAGCAUCAGAUAAUUGUUUGAACUUGAAGAAACCAGAUAACAAUUAAAUUAUUUCAUGACUAAAUUAGAGUG